Molecule: ribosomal RNA, 685 nt
Filed under: Salmonella enterica
Lineage: Bacteria; Pseudomonadati; Pseudomonadota; Gammaproteobacteria; Enterobacterales; Enterobacteriaceae
Also listed under: 2 other names
Description: partial 16S ribosomal RNA
Rfam family: Bacterial small subunit ribosomal RNA
Source: RNAcentral
CGUUAAGUAGACCGCCUGGGGAGUACGGCCGCAAGGUUAAAACUCAAAUGAAUUGACGGGGGCCCGCACAAGCGGUGGAGCAUGUGGUUUAAUUCGAUGCAACGCGAAGAACCUUACCUGGUCUUGACAUCCACAGAAGAAUCCAGAGAUGGAUUUGUGCCUUCGGGAACUGUGAGACAGGUGCUGCAUGGCUGUCGUCAGCUCGUGUUGUGAAAUGUUGGGUUAAGUCCCGCAACGAGCGCAACCCUUAUCCUUUGUUGCCAGCGGUUAGGCCGGGAACUCAAAGGAGACUGCCAGUGAUAAACUGGAGGAAGGUGGGGAUGACGUCAAGUCAUCAUGGCCCUUACGACCAGGGCUACACACGUGCUACAAUGGCGCAUACAAAGAGAAGCGACCUCGCGAGAGCAAGCGGACCUCAUAAAGUGCGUCGUAGUCCGGAUUGGAGUCUGCAACUCGACUCCAUGAAGUCGGAAUCGCUAGUAAUCGUGGAUCAGAAUGCCACGGUGAAUACGUUCCCGGGCCUUGUACACACCGCCCGUCACACCAUGGGAGUGGGUUGCAAAAGAAGUAGGUAGCUUAACCUUCGGGAGGGCGCUUACCACUUUGUGAUUCAUGACUGGGGUGAAGUCGUAACAAGGUAACCGUAGGGGAACCUGCGGUUGGAUCACCUCCUUACCUUAAAGAA